UACGUAGGGUGCGAGCGUUAAUCGGAUUUACUGGGCGUAAAGCGCGUGUAGGCGGCAGGGCAAGUCUGGUGUGAAAGCCCGGGGCUCAACCCUGGAAGGGCACUGGAAACUGUCUGGCUUGAGUUCCGGAGAGGAGGGGGGAAUUCCCGGUGUAGCGGUGAAAUGCGUAGAUAUCGGGAGGAAUACCGGUGGCGAAGGCGCCCCUCUGGACGGGUACUGACGCUGAGGCGCGAAAGCGUGGGGAGCAAACAGG
RNAcentral lists this ribosomal RNA (253 nucleotides) under uncultured microorganism. Its description in RNAcentral is "partial 16S ribosomal RNA". It matches the Rfam family "Bacterial small subunit ribosomal RNA", at positions 524 to 776 of the family's 1533-position model. The record is from RNAcentral.